CAUUGGAGGAUUACAUUAUUUGGGCCACUCACAUUGUGUGACGCCCGGUGUUAUUCUUUUAUGUCGUUUCUUGUUGCAUCUGUUAAGACGAUUCCUUGCACGACAUGAACCCCGUAUAGCGCUUUUUUGCGAAAGGGUUGGGGCCUGCUUUGGCAAAGUGGUGUUUGAUAGUUUUGACAGCAUCGUCGCCAUCUUUGAUAUAGACAAGGACGGGGAUCUCGAUUGUUUGAGUGGUGCACGCACAUACUACGACAAGCAUUCGUCAACCGCUACCUACGUCUGGUUUCUUAAAGGUUUAAAUGGCCACAAAGCG
RNAcentral lists this long non-coding RNA (313 nucleotides) under Rhipicephalus microplus (southern cattle tick). RNAcentral describes it as "uncharacterized LOC119185302". The record is from RNAcentral. Lineage: Eukaryota; Metazoa; Arthropoda; Arachnida; Ixodida; Ixodidae.